GAUGAACGCUGGCGGCGUGCCUAAUACAUGCAAGUCGAGCGAACGGACGAGAAGCUUGCUUCUCUGAUGUUAGCGGCGGACGGGUGAGUAACACGUGGAUAACCUACCUAUAAGACUGGGAUAACUUCGGGAAGCCGGAGCUAAUACCGGAUAAUAUUUUGAACCGCAUGGUUCAAAAGUGAAAGGCGGUCUUGCUGUCACUUAUAGAUGGAUCCGCGCUGCAUUAGCUAGUUGGUAAGGUAACGGCUUACCAAGGCAACGAUGCAUAGCCGACCUGAGAGGGUGAUCGGCCACACUGGAACUGAGACACGGUCCAGACUCCUACGGGAGGCAGCAGUAGGGAAUCUUCCGCAAUGGGCGAAAGCCUGACGGAGCAACGCCGCGUGAGUGAUGAAGGUCUUCGGAUCGUAAAACUCUGUUAUUAGGGAAGAACAUAUGUGUAAGUAACUGUGCACAUCUUGACGGUACCUAAUCAGAAAGCCACGGCUAACUACGUG
This 497-nucleotide ribosomal RNA is filed under the name uncultured bacterium. Its description in RNAcentral is "partial 16S ribosomal RNA". It matches the Rfam family "Bacterial small subunit ribosomal RNA", at positions 28 to 507 of the family's 1533-position model. The record is from RNAcentral.